CUCGUAGGCGGCCAACUAAGUCAUACGUGAAAUCCCUCGGCUUAACCGGGGAACUGCGUCUGAUACUGGAUGGCUUGAGAUUGGGAGAGGGAUGCGGAAUUCCAGGUGUAGCGGUGAAAUGCGUAGAUAUCUGGAGGAACACCGGUGGCGAAGGCGGCAUCCUGGACCAACACUGACGCUGAGGAGCGAAAGCCAGGGAGCAAACG
This 206-nucleotide ribosomal RNA is filed under the name uncultured bacterium. RNAcentral describes it as "partial 16S ribosomal RNA". It matches the Rfam family "Bacterial small subunit ribosomal RNA", at positions 568 to 774 of the family's 1533-position model. The record is from RNAcentral.